RNAcentral lists this ribosomal RNA (506 nucleotides) under uncultured bacterium. RNAcentral describes it as "partial 16S ribosomal RNA". It matches the Rfam family "Bacterial small subunit ribosomal RNA", at positions 29 to 523 of the family's 1533-position model. The record is from RNAcentral.
AUUGAACGCUGGCGGCAGGCCUAACACAUGCAAGUCGGACGGUAGCACAGAGGAGCUUGCUCCUCGGGUGACGAGUGGCGGACGGGUGAGUAAUGUCUGGGGAUCUGCCCGAUAGAGGGGGAUAACCACCGGAAACGGUGGCUAAUACCGCAUAACGUCGCAAGACCAAAGAGGGGGACCUUCGGGCCUCUCACUAUCGGAUGAACCCAGAUGGGAUUAGCUAGUAGGCGGGGUAACGGCCCACCUAGGCGACGAUCCCUAGCUGGUCUGAGAGGAUGACCAGCCACACUGGAACUGAGACACGGUCCAGACUCCUACGGGAGGCAGCAGUGGGGAAUAUUGCACAAUGGGCGCAAGCCUGAUGCAGCCAUGCCGCGUGUAUGAAGAAGGCCUUCGGGUUGUAAAGUACUUUCGGCGGGGAGGAAGGCGAUGUGGUUAAUAACCGCAUUGAUUGACGUUACCCGCAGAAUAAGCACCGGCUAACUCUGUGCCAGCCGCCGCAGUAA